AGCCGGGCUAGGGGGAGUGCUGGCGUGCUCUGUAUCACAAAUCGNCGAUAUGGUGACCCGAAGUCUGAGGGCGGCGGAGACGAUUUUCGAAUGUACCAUCGAUUAACUGAGAUGCCUCGCCCCCGAGAGAUCGAGGUUAACAGAGGCCUAUUCCGGAGGGAAUCGGUGACUGUAUCACCCGGGAAUCAGGUCAGGCGCGGAAGCGAGCAGCCCGACUGGGGACUCUGGAUGCCUCGGGAAAGCGGGGCGGAGAAGAUUGGUGUAUCCACAGACGAAAAUACGACCGUCCACCAAAGACGCGCCCACCU
RNAcentral lists this signal recognition particle RNA (308 nucleotides) under Methanobacteriota archaeon. Its description in RNAcentral is "Euryarchaeota archaeon signal recognition particle sRNA". It matches the Rfam family "Archaeal signal recognition particle RNA". Lineage: Archaea; Methanobacteriati; Methanobacteriota. The record is from RNAcentral.